GAUGAACGCUGGCGGCGUGCCUAAUACAUGCAAGUCGAGCGAACGGACGAGAGGCUUGCUUCUCUGAUGUUAGCGGCGGACGGGUGAGUAACACGUGGAUAACCUACCUAUAAGACUGGGAUAACUUCGGGAAACCGGAGCUAAUACCGGAUAAUAUUUUGAACCGCAUGGUUCAAAAGUGAAAGACGGUCUUGCUGUCACUUAUCGAUGGAUCCGCGCUGCAUUAGCUAGUUGGUAAGGUAACGGCUUACCAAGGCAACGAUGCAUAGCCGACCUGAGAGGGGGAUCGGCCACACGGGAACUGAGACACGGUCCAGACUCCUACGGGAGGCAGCAGUAGGGAAUCGUCCGCAAUGGGCGAAAGCCUGACGGAGCAACGCCGCGUGAGUGAUGAAGGUCUUCGGAUCGUAAAACUCUGUUAUUAGGGAAGAACAGAUGUGGAAGUAACUGUGCACAUCUUGACGGUACCUAAUCAGAAAGCCACGGCUAACUACGUG
Molecule: ribosomal RNA, 497 nt
Filed under: uncultured bacterium
Lineage: Bacteria
Description: partial 16S ribosomal RNA
Rfam family: Bacterial small subunit ribosomal RNA
Source: RNAcentral